This 643-nucleotide long non-coding RNA is filed under the name Trifolium pratense (red clover). Its description in RNAcentral is "long non-coding RNA (TPRA_LNC012758)". Lineage: Eukaryota; Viridiplantae; Streptophyta; Magnoliopsida; Fabales; Fabaceae. The record is from RNAcentral.
AGGGGUGGACAACGGGCCGGUUUGGGUCGGUAUGGGUCCAAACCCUCAAACCGGUCCAAUUCACGGGUGGAGAAGUAUAGUCCAUACCGAACCAUUUUUGAGAUUCGGGUUAGACNNNNNNNNNNNNUUCAGGCGAAAAUUAGAUCUUUCAAAAAAAAAAUCCAAAGAAUAUCAUCAAAUGGAGUAAUAAAUUUAUAUGAAUAUGAAAAAAUCCAGAAAUUUAAAUCGGAGAAGAGAAGAAGUUCAUCACAAAAAAUUACUAACUUUUAAAAAAUAAACAAAUAAAAAUUACAACUAAACACAAAUGAGAGAAUGAGGAAUGAAUUAUGAAAGGAAAAACAUGCACUUGCUUCUUAGAUCUGGUUUUCAUUUGCAAAAAUCAACUUGUGCAACUUGUCAAAUAGAAAACACAUUUAAAUCAACUUCUUAGAUUUGGAAUGAAAGGAAGAUUCAUGAGACUUGUUGGUGCGUUUUUUUUCUUCAGAGAACUUGUCAAAUGGAGGUAAAGGAAAACACAUCUUGUUUAGCAUAAAAGGAGUUCGGUGUGUGACUGUAAUUGUUUGUGGGAGAUGAGAAUUGAGACAGAGAAGAACAAGGUUCUAGACACAUAAUAAAUAUCAUUUAAGAAAUAGAGAGAGAAUCA